AGAGUUUGAUCCUGGCUCAGAUUGAACGCUGGCGGCAUGCCUUACACAUGCAAGUCGAACGGUAACGCGGGGGCAACCCUGGCGACGAGUGGCGAACGGGUGAGUAAUACAUCGGAACAUAUCCAGUAGCGGGGGAUAACCUAUCGAAAGAUGGACUAAUACCGCAUACGAUCUACGGAUGAAAGCAGGGGACCGCAAGGCCUUGCACUAUUGGAGUGGCCGAUGUCGGAUUAGCUAGUUGGUGGGGUAAAGGCUUACCAAGGCGACGAUCCGUAGCUGGUCUGAGAGGACGAUCAGCCACACUGGAACUGAGACACGGUCCAGACUCCUACGGGAGGCAGCAGUGGGGAAUUUUGGACAAUGGGCGCAAGCCUGAUCCAGCCAUGCCGCGUGAGUGAAGAAGGCCUUCGGGUUGUAAAGCUCUUUCGGUGAAGACGAAACGGUUAGCGCUAAUAACGCUGACUAAUGACGGUACUCACAGAAGAAGCACCGGCUAACUACGUGCCAGCAGCCGCGGUAAUACGUAGGGUGCAGGCGUUAAUCGGAAUUACUGGGCGUAAAGCGUGCGCAGGCGGUUUGCUAAGACAGGUGUGAAAUCCCCGAGCUUAACUUGGGAAUUGCGCUUGUAACUGGCAAGCUAGAGUGUGGCAGAGGGGGGUGGAAUUCCACGUGUAGCAGUGAAAUGCGUAGAUAUGUGGAGGAACACCGAUGGCGAAGGCAGCCCCCUGGGUUAACACUGACGCUCAUGCACGAAAGCGUGGGGAGCAAACAGGAUUAGAUACCCUGGUAGUCCACGCCCUAAACUAUGUCAACUAGUUGUCGGGGAAGAAAUUCCUUGGUAACGAAGCUAACGCGUGAAGUUGACCGCCUGGGGAGUACGGCCGCAAGGUUAAAACUCAAAGGAAUUGACGGGGACCCGCACAUGCGGUGGAUUAUGUGGAUUAAUUCGAUGCAACGCGAAAAACCUUACCUACCCUUGACAUGCUAGGAAGCCCGCAGAGAUGUGGGUGUGCCCGAAGGGAACCUAGACACAGGUGCUGCAUGGCUGUCGUCAGCUCGUGUCGUGAGAUGUUGGGUUAAGUCCCGCAACGAGCGCAACCCUUGCCAUUAGUUGCUACAUUUAGUUGGGCACUCUAAUGGGACCGCCGGUGACAAACCGGAGGAAGGUGGGGAUGACGUCAAGUCCUCAUGGCCCUUAUGGGUAGGGCUUCACACGUAAUACAAUGGUCGGUACAGAGGGCUGCCAACCCGCAAGGGGGAGCUAAUCCCAGAAAACCGAUCGUAGUCCGGAUUGUAGUCUGCAACUCGACUGCAUGAAGCCGGAAUCGCUAGUAAUCGCGGAUCAGCAUGUCGCGGUGAAUACGUUCCCGGGUCUUGUACACACCGCCCGUCACACCAUGGGAGUGGGUUCCACCAGAAGUAGUUAGCCUAACCGCAAGGAGGGCGAUUACCACGGUGAGAUUCAUGACUGGGGUGAAGUCGUAACAAGGUA
RNAcentral lists this ribosomal RNA (1492 nucleotides) under metagenome. RNAcentral describes it as "bacterial SSU rRNA". It matches the Rfam family "Bacterial small subunit ribosomal RNA". The record is from RNAcentral.